UGCAACCUGAACUCAGGCG
RNAcentral lists this ribosomal RNA (19 nucleotides) under Trichostrongylus colubriformis. RNAcentral describes it as "partial 28S ribosomal RNA". The record is from RNAcentral. Lineage: Eukaryota; Metazoa; Nematoda; Chromadorea; Rhabditida; Trichostrongylidae.